AGGUGCAAACACAUAAUACAUGAAGGAAGUUACAAAAACUGUAAAAUGCCAAGCGCAAUAAAUGUUACAAAAUAGGUUACAAAUAAUGGUUGCAGGAGAGAAUUUGGAAAAUGUACAUACAGAAUGCAUCAGCCAAAAAGAAAUAAAUAAAAUACAAAAUCAAAAUCAAAAUGCAACAAGAAGAUGCCUUGCCCUCCACUCGUGGGUUGCCACCUGGAGCCUCCAAGGUGUCUACGUACAAAGGUAACAACAAUGUAGGUUGUUAGCAGCUGAAAUAAAAAAAUAGUAAUAAUAAAAGAAAAUGGAAAGUGAAAUCAUUGAGAAGGAAUUAUUCCCUGACAGUUCGUUAAUGGGGAAAUUGGUAAAGGAAAUAUUCCCUCGCCAGCUCAGGGAAAUUCCGUUAGGAUUAGGAAAUUUGGCGCCAAGAGGUCGCCCCUAACUCCCUAUAAAUAGAGAGCACAGUAGAAGGGCACCCCUCAGAGAGCCUAAAAACUCUACAAGAAUUGAGAGAAAAUUAGAGAGAGCACAGAAACCCUGGUGAAAUUGGGAGAAGUAAGAAAAAAUUCAGAGGAGAGGGAAGGCUCUGCCAGUUUUAAACACACAGAGGGCAUAGAGAAGUGUCAGGAAAAUAGAGAGAUAAAAAUAAAUGCUAGGAAAAUAAGAGGGAUCUGAGAGCAUAGAAAAACUGUGUCCAAAAUCAGGAGAAAAGAGGAAGAAGAGACGGGAAGCGCUACAGAGAAACUCUGCAGAAUUUGAUAGCAGAGAGCUUGGAAACUCAUUCAGAUCCACCAGAGAACCCGCGGACAGAUACAAGAGAGGAGAAUCAAAGGAGGAGGAGCAAAGAAAGGAAGGUGAUCCAGUUAGGCGAGCAGAACAGGCUCACAGAUAGACGGGGCUACAGUGCUACCCUGCCAGUAGGGUGAGUGUUUUUGGGAACGAAGGGUAUUUUUGUGUAGCCCUAGUUCAGUUAUGUAUGAAUAU
Malania oleifera is the source of this 981-nucleotide long non-coding RNA. RefSeq lists it as uncharacterized. NCBI's taxonomy places the organism in Eukaryota, Viridiplantae, Streptophyta, Magnoliopsida, Santalales, Ximeniaceae. The record is from RefSeq and is a predicted model, not a curated record. The transcript is spliced from 2 exons.